AUUCCAUGGUUUGGACACUUUUGCAGCAUAUUCUUGAACCUAUUCCAAGCUUCAUCAAAAUUCUUCAAGUUGCCUUGGCAGAAGAUAGAAAUGUCAUGCUUGAGCUU
RNAcentral lists this small nucleolar RNA (107 nucleotides) under Olea europaea subsp. europaea. RNAcentral describes it as "Plant small nucleolar RNA R71". It matches the Rfam family "Plant small nucleolar RNA R71". Rfam says of the family: R71 is a member of the C/D box family of snoRNAs containing the C (UGAUGA) and D (CUGA) box motifs. Multiple nearly identical copies of this snoRNA have been identified in Arabidopsis, and it is thought to function as a 2'-O-ribose methylation guide for 18S ribosomal RNA. Lineage: Eukaryota; Viridiplantae; Streptophyta; Magnoliopsida; Lamiales; Oleaceae. The record is from Rfam by way of RNAcentral.